ACCCUGAGAUGCUGGGCCCUGAGCUUCUACCCUGCGGAGAUCUCACUGACCUGGCAACGUGAUGGGGAGGACCAGGCCCAGGACACGGAGCUCGUGGAGACCAGGCCUGCAGGGGACGGGACCUUCCAGAAGUGGGCGGCCCUGGUGGUGCCUCCUGGAGAGGAGCAGAGAUACACGUGCCAUGUGCAGCACAAGGGGCUUCAGGAGCCCCUCAGCCUGAGAUGCGAGCCACGCCCUCCCAGGGACCUGGGAUUUCGCCCUGAUCCCUCCCCUCCAGCACGGAGAGCUCUUUGUCACAGUCUCUCUAGGUCCCGGCCCAGGGCUGUGUGUCCCUGCCUGAUGUUGAAGUUCUGUGAGGUGACUUAUGUCCACAGCAAAAUAACAUGGCUGAAUGGGGAGCACCAGCCCCGCUUCUGAGAACACUGAGUAAUGGAAUUUCUGUGGCAGAAGAGCUCAGUCAGAAGUGAUGGGUCUGGAGGAGAGGAUCAGAAUGUGCGUCCUGACACAUGAGCUGAUGAUGAUCUGUCAAGUGCUUCACAAGUGUAAGGAUAUUAAUGUCAUCUUUUGAAAGCAUUAUUUAUGAGCAGACAAGAGAACUGAAAAGAUACUCAAGAAUAUACAAAAAUGAGGGACUGUCACAACCACAGAGCCUGAAGGAGACUUGAU
Molecule: non-coding RNA, 666 nt
Organism: Vicugna pacos (alpaca)
Lineage: Eukaryota; Metazoa; Chordata; Mammalia; Artiodactyla; Camelidae
Source: RefSeq, a predicted model, not a curated record